This 347-nucleotide unclassified non-coding RNA is filed under the name soil metagenome. RNAcentral describes it as "partial contains 5.8S ribosomal RNA, internal transcribed spacer 2, and large subunit ribosomal RNA". The stretch from base 1 to 120 matches the Rfam family "5.8S ribosomal RNA", at positions 35 to 154 of the family's 154-position model. The record is from RNAcentral.
GAUGAAGAACGUAGUGAAAUGCGAUAAUUAAUGUGAAUUGCAGGAUUCAGUGAAUCAUCGAGUCUUUGAACGCACAUUGCGCCCCCUGGUAUUCCGGGGGGCAUGCCUGUCCGAGCGUCAUUGCUGCCCUCAAGCACGGCUUGUGUGUUGGGCUUCCGUCCCUGGCAACGGGGACGGGCCCAAAAGGCAGUGGCGGCACCAUGUCUGGUCCUCGAGCGUAUGGGGCUUUGUCACCCGCUCCCGUAGGUCCAGCUGGCAGCUAGCCUCGCAACCAAUCUUUUUAACCAGGUUGACCUCGGAUCAGGUAGGGAUACCCGCUGAACUUAAGCAUAUCAAUAAGCGGAGGA